GACGAACGCUGGCGGCGUGCUUAACACAUGCAAGUCGAACGGAAAGGCCCUGCUUUUGUGGGGUGCUCGAGUGGCGAACGGGUGAGUAACACGUGAGUAACCUGCCCUUGACUUUGGGAUAACUUCAGGAAACUGGGGCUAAUACCGGAUAGGAGCUCCUGCUGCAUGGUGGGGGUUGGAAAGUUUCGGCGGUUGGGGAUGGACUCGCGGCUUAUCAGCUUGUUGGUGGGGUAGUGGCUUACCAAGGCUUUGACGGGUAGCCGGCCUGAGAGGGUGACCGGCCACAUUGGGACUGAGAUACGGCCCAGACUCCCACGGGAGGCAGCAGUGGGGAAUAUUGCACAAUGGGCGGAAGCCUGAUGCAGCAACGCCGCGUGCGGGAUGACGGCCUUCGGGUUGUAAACCGCUUUCGCCUGUGACGAAGCGUGAGUGACGGUAAUGGGUAAAGAAGCACCGGCUAACUACGUGCCAGCAGCCGCGGUGAUACGUAGGGUGCGAGCGUUGUCCGGAUUUAUUGGGCGUAAAGGGCUCGUAGGUGGUUGAUCGCGUCGGAAGUGUAAUCUUGGGGCUUAACCCUGAGCGUGCUUUCGAUACGGGUUGACUUGAGGAAGGUAGGGGAGAAUGGAAUUCCUGGUGGAGCGGUGGAAUGCGCAGAUAUCAGGAGGAACACCAGUGGCGAAGGCGGUUCUCUGGGCCUUUCCUGACGCUGAGGAGCGAAAGCGUGGGGAGCGAACAGGCUUAGAUACCCUGGUAGUCCACGCUGUAAACGGUGGGUACUAGGUGUGGGGUCCAUUCCACGGGUUCCGUGCCGUAGCUAACGCUUUAAGUACCCCGCCUGGGGAGUACGGCCGCAAGGCUAAAACUCAAAGGAAUUGACGGGGCCCCGCACAAGCGGCGGAGCAUGCGGAUUAAUUCGAUGCAACGCGUAGAACCUUACCUGGGUUUGACAUGGAUCGGGAGUGCUCAGAGAUGGGUGUGCCUCUUUUGGGGUCGGUUCACAGGUGGUGCAUGCCUGUCGUCAGCUCGUGUCGUGAGAUGUUGGGUUAAGUCCCGCAACGAGCGCAACCCUUGUUCACUGUUGCCAGCACGUUAUGGUGGGGACUCAGUGGAGACCGCCGGGGUCAACUCGGAGGAAGGUGGGGAUGACGUCAAGUCCUCAUGCCCCUUAUGUCCAGGGCUUCACGCAUGCUACAAUGGCUGGUACAGAGAGUGGCGAGCCUGUGAGGGUGAGCGAAUCUCGGAAAGCCGGUCUCAGUUCGGAUUGGGGUCUGCAACUCGACCUCAUGAAGUCGGAGUCGCUAGUAAUCGCAGAUCAGCAACGCUGCGGUGAGUACGUUCCCGGG
RNAcentral lists this ribosomal RNA (1343 nucleotides) under uncultured bacterium. RNAcentral's name for it is "16S ribosomal RNA". It matches the Rfam family "Bacterial small subunit ribosomal RNA", at positions 28 to 1378 of the family's 1533-position model. The record is from RNAcentral.